GACGAACGCUGGCGGCGUGCCUAAUACAUGCAAGUAGAACGCUGAAGGAGGAGCUUGCUUCUCUGGAUGAGUUGCGAACGGGUGAGUAACGCGUAGGUAACCUGCCUGGUAGCGGGGGAUAACUAUUGGAAACGAUAGCUAAUACCGCAUAGGAGUAGAUGUUGCAUGACAUUUGCUUAAAAGGUGCAAUUGCAUCACUACCAGAUGGACCUGCGUUGUAUUAGCUAGUUGGUGGGGUAACGGCCCACCAAGGCGACGAUACAUAGCCGACCUGAGAGGGGGAUCGGCCACACUGGGACGGAGACACGGCCCAGACUCCUACGGGAGGCAGCAGUAGGGAAUCUUCGGCAAUGGACGGAAGUCUGACCGGGCAACGCCGCGUGAGUGAAGAAGGUUUUCGGAUCGUAAAGCUCUGUUGUAAGAGAAGAACGAGUGUGAGAGUGGAAAGUUCACACUGUGACGGUAGCUGACCAGAAAGGGACGGCUAACUACGUG
This 495-nucleotide ribosomal RNA is filed under the name uncultured bacterium. RNAcentral describes it as "partial 16S ribosomal RNA". It matches the Rfam family "Bacterial small subunit ribosomal RNA", at positions 28 to 507 of the family's 1533-position model. The record is from RNAcentral.